CGUCAUUCAGAAAAAUAAUAUCCAAAUCAAACACCACGGCAUGAACUUCUUAUUAGUCAAAUUUCAGAAAAAAAAAACUGCAGCCAUUAUUGUUGUACAACUUAUAUUAUUCACCUUGGUCGAGCUUCUGCCGUGCUGAACAAACGGCUCUCUCAUCUCGCCAUGUUGCGUACGUCAUGGAUGGGUCAAUUAUUCUGAAACCCUCUGGCCAGGAAAUAGGAGAAUUAGGAAAGACGACCAUGUGCAUGCAAGCGGCAGCAAUGCCAAAUCACCCUGUUAUUUAGGUUUCAGAACAGAAAAGCAAGACCAAAAGUUUAGGUUUACAAAAUAUACAACUUAACAUUUCUCCCAAACAUUUUAGUUCUGACUGUAGUACAACCAGUAUGUUUGAUGCCUAUAGGGAAGCUAGUAUCUACAAAGCACAUAAUGCAUAAGUAACAACAGAAGACCGCAUAUUGGCAAAUGAUUUUUACUGUUCUUUUGAGAGAAAAUUAAAGGACUGGAUUGACUUCUUGCUACAUUCUAUUUAUUCUUAAUGUACAAUAUGCAGACUCACAUUUCGCCGUGACCAAAGGAGAACACAAAAUAGACUUCGGAUAUCCCCAUCUACGAAUGAGUUUUGUUAACAAAAUGGAGUGACUGAUAACUGAUUAACUAGUACACAUGCAGCAUUACUUAUCAGGAAACCCGUAACCCCAAGCUCUAGUUAUCCCAUCUCAGGACAAUGCUAUUAUGAUAUACAUUCAGCUUAAUUCUGUUUGAAGAAAAAAAAUGGAGUGACCAAAUAAGAAAGGUGUUCAACACACAACAUUUCUGUCCAGAAUAUUCAUCUUGAGAUUAAGUACACAUAUUUCUGUUCAGAACAUCGAUGUUGUAUGAUUAAUUGUUUCUGGGCCUAUAAGUUUCAUCUCUUCUAUCACUAAUUUGCACAGAAAUUGUUCGGGUCACUACCAUUUCGCCAUUAGUCAGCCAAAAUGCCAAAUGUAAGUUGUGAUCACUCCAUCAUAUCAAAGUACCAAACUCAGUCAUUUUCCCUACUUCUAUCAUCCACCAACAGACCUGACUAAUUUACAGCAAUAUGGCAUGUAUGUGAAGACCAUCUCAGAAUAUAUGCUUAAUUUGAUGCUAUUGCCCUGCUAAUAUUUUAACAAGUGUUGAUGCCAAAACAUUGCAACCCUGUAGUUCAAGCUCAGAAUAAAAACAUUUGAUAAAUUAAUCCACACAAUUAUUUACAACUACUAAGACAGGGAUCUGACAGCUAGUUCCCCCCUUGUUCGUCAUACCUUUGUUGAUUUCAGAGAGGAGAGAUCGGAUCCUAGAAUAGGGAUCUGACCGCCAUGUGAGCUCAUUUAUAUUCACAAUUAAGGCCAAUAAUUCAAUCUUCCCACCGGACCAUGAACCCUAGAAAUUAUCAAGGCCAAGACCAAGAACCCUAGAAAUUAAGAGGAUGACUUUAGGGGGGGGGGUGCUGAAGAAGAGGAGGAGCGGGGCCUUACCAGUCCAAAGACGGGGUCGACGGGCCGUCGCAGUCGCCACCCAUGGUCACCGGCUCACCGCCGAGAUCACGCCGCUGUGACGCCGGAGCUGGAGCGCCGCCGCCGUCGGGAAGCAGUUGGGAGAUGAAAUAG
This 1628-nucleotide long non-coding RNA is filed under the name Triticum aestivum (bread wheat). RNAcentral describes it as "long non-coding RNA (TAES_LNC015343)". The record is from RNAcentral. Lineage: Eukaryota; Viridiplantae; Streptophyta; Magnoliopsida; Poales; Poaceae.